RNAcentral lists this ribosomal RNA (253 nucleotides) under uncultured bacterium. RNAcentral's name for it is "partial 16S ribosomal RNA". It matches the Rfam family "Bacterial small subunit ribosomal RNA", at positions 524 to 776 of the family's 1533-position model. The record is from RNAcentral.
UACGUAGGCAGCAAGCGUUGUUCGGAGUUACUGGGCGUAAAGGGUGCGUAGGCGGCUUUUUAAGUUUGGUGUGAAAUCUCCCGGCUCAACUGGGAGGGUGCGCCGAAUACUGAGAGGCUAGAGUGUGGGAGAGGAAAGUGGAAUUCCUGGUGUAGCGGUGAAAUGCGUAGAUAUCAGGAGGAACACCGGUGGUGUAAACGGCUUUCUGGGCCAUAACUGACGCUGAGGCACGAAAGCGUGGGUAGCAAACAGG